Molecule: ribosomal RNA, 496 nt
Filed under: uncultured bacterium
Lineage: Bacteria
Description: partial 16S ribosomal RNA
Rfam family: Bacterial small subunit ribosomal RNA
Source: RNAcentral
AUGAACGCUGGCGGCGUGCCUAAUACAUGCAAGUCGAGCGAACAGGCGAGGAGCUUGCUCCUCUGACGUUAGCGGCGGACGGGUGAGUAACACGUGGAUAACCUACCUAUAAGACUGGGAUAACUUCGGGAAACCGGAGCUAAUACCGGAUAAUAUAUUGAACCGCAUGGUUCAAUAGUGAAAGACGGUUUUGCUGGCACUUAUAGAUGGAUCCGCGCCGCAUUAGCUAGUUGGUAAGGUAACGGCUUACCAAGGCAACGAUGCGUAGCCGACCUGAGAGGGUGAUCGGCCACACUGGAACUGAGACACGGUCCAGACUCCUACGGGAGGCAGCAGUAGGGAAUCUUCCGCAAUGGGCGAAAGCCUGACGGAGCAACGCCGCGUGAGUGAUGAAGGUCUUCGGAUCGUAAAACUCUGUUAUUAGGGAAGAACAAAUGUGUAAGUAACUAUGCACGUCUUGACGGUACCUAAUCAGAAAGCCACGGCUAACUACGUG